UUCGUAAUGUUUAAACAAAGCUCAGUUUUACGUUUAUUUCUGUGUUGAAAUAGGGAAAACAAAAUAAAGCUGGUAAAAGUAGAGAAAAUUUCCUUUCCAACAAGCCCUUACAGGCCUUCUUACGCUCAGUAUUUUCUUAAUUACGAUAAUUUGAAUUUGUGACCUUCGCAUAGUUUUUAUGGAAAAAGCUGUCAAUAUUUACAUGUAACGUCAAGGUCGAUAUUGUUGCGUCUUACUCGAAACAACAAAUUCUUUUAUAAGUCUUUUUUGACCAUUUAAAUGUAUUUUUUACUGAAAUAAAUGCAUAAUACAAAAAAGAAUAGAUUUCAAAAAACAAAUAUAUACUAUCGUUCUGCCUUUGAUGAAUCGAAGUGAAUGUUCAUUUAUUCAUCUAUAUGUAAUGAUAUAUAUUUCAUGUAGUGAUAUACAAUGUUGAGAAAAAAUUGUAGAUUCCCAAAACGUCGAUCUUUACUAAAAAAAAAUCAAUCAGAUUUUUAAUACUGUUGUUUCUUGUUAUCUUGUUAUACUUAUCAAUUUGCAAUUUAAUUAGAUCUAUAUUGGCACGAAAUUUAACAAUACAAAAACUCGCAUUUAUAAAUAAAUACGACUCAUCACUGUAUGAGUUGAUACGAAUUGAAAUAACCACGUGUUUCCGCUGUGGUGUAAACAACAACAUGAUCCGAAAUCUGAAAGUCAAUUUUCAUGAUUAUUUCACGACGAAGAUCAUCACAUCAAUGAAUCAAAUAUUACGGACAUGCUUUUGAUAUUAGCAGGGUGCUUUCACCAUAUGCAACAAUACUUUCAUCUGUGAAUACCCACUUUCUAAGCCCACCAUGAACUACGAAGGUCAAAUUAAUAUGUAAGGACACCAAAGAACAGACACUUUCCAAUUAUCGUACAUCAUAGACAUGGGUGGUCAAACUCACUGGAUGGUUUAUCAACACUCCCAUGCUCACGAACAGCCUUGCCCCAGGAAUUUUGCCCUGAAGUAACAUUGCAGUCUAUUGUCUCCUUUCUUUUUACAACCCUGGCAGCCAUGCAGGAUAGAAGCUGAUCACUUGUACUUGACAGCAAAUAACAAUGUCUUGGACAAGUCAAAGAAUUUCCUCCAGUCUUACAGAGAAAUGACAGUUGAUAAAAGAAUGGUGGACACAAAGUAAAAGUGCUCUUCAACAUUUUGUUGAAGGAUUCAGUCUGAUUUGGAAUUCAUCUUGCAAUAUUUCUGGAUUUGUAUAUUUGGAUAUAAGCAUCAAAUUUUCAACUUAUUGACUAAACAGUUUUGGGCUAAAUAUUGCCAAUGCUAUUUAUUAUUAUUAUUAUUUCCCUCCAAGAUAACAUGUCAAGUCUUUAUU
This is a long non-coding RNA of Saccostrea cuccullata (small rock oyster), 1352 nucleotides long. RefSeq lists it as uncharacterized. The transcript is spliced from 4 exons. The record is from RefSeq and is a predicted model, not a curated record. NCBI's taxonomy places the organism in Eukaryota, Metazoa, Mollusca, Bivalvia, Ostreida, Ostreidae.